Vigna angularis (adzuki bean) is the source of this 6142-nucleotide long non-coding RNA. RefSeq lists it as uncharacterized. The record is from RefSeq and is a predicted model, not a curated record. The transcript is spliced from 3 exons. NCBI's taxonomy places the organism in Eukaryota, Viridiplantae, Streptophyta, Magnoliopsida, Fabales, Fabaceae.
UUUUGUUUCGUUAAUACAUGUUCUGUUUUAUUUAAUUAUUUAGAUUUCGUUUUUGUUAAAAAAAAAAAAAAAAAAAAAAACAGAGAGCAUAAAAUUGCAGUAAUAGGGCAGAGAGGUGUAGUUUGAGCAAAGAUUUAAUCUGAGUGCAUUUAUUGAAAAUAACCUGAUACACAGAUAACAUUUUGUCUUACACUGCUGAUAAUAAAAAUAAAAUGCAUAAAAACUAAAUAAAGAUGUUCAGGGUUCGAUCAUUUCUGAUCGUUAAGUAUUACAGACCAUAAUAAAAAAACAUAAAAAAAAAACAUAAAAGCAUAAAAAAAAAAAUUAAGUGUUCAGAUUACAUGCCUUGUUCAAAUUCUGGCCACACUCGGCCAGCAAAAACAUAAAAAAAAAAAAACAUAAAACAUUAAAAAUUCAACGGAAGAAUUCUCGAGCUGGUUGUGGCGGUCUAAGGGAGAGCUCCGUCGAGGGAGCUCUGGUUCAGAAUGUGAGAAGCAUGGGUGGAGGGAUUUGUCGUACGUCCCUAUCGUCGUCGAUGAUGAUCGGAACGGGAAACAGAUUCAGCAGCCUCGGUGCCCUCAUAAUCACCCAGUCAUAAUCUUUCGGCCAAAAAAAAAAAAAAAAAAUUGUGUGUUAAUAAUAGAAGAGGAAAGGAAAAAAAUCAAUAAAAGUGAGUUUUGAUCAGAGUCUUACCGUACAUAUAUAGUGGCAGUUGCGAAAACUGAGUGCCAGUAGGGUCUAUCUCCGCUUGCCAGCGCCUGACCCGAUUGCCGUGAUUGUUGAACCAGCAGUGCACGUUGUAUUCGCUGGCAUCUCCGAAGAUCCUUUAAAAAAAAAAAAAAAAAAACAAAACAAAACAUAACUCAUAAAAAAGCAUAAUUUAAAAAAAAAAAAACAUUUCUUAGUUCUGUGUUUUCUUUAUUUGUUCUUGUUUUCUUUUAGAUUUAUUUUGUCCUGUCUGUCUUUGAUGUUUUUGGUCUGGUCUCAGAUCUGUUUCACGGUCCUUGCAAAAGGGUCCUAAACGGAUCUACGUCCUGUUGUCCUGUUGUCCUUGUCCGUGUUGUUCUUGUUUUAAUUUAUGUUUUUGUGUUUUUAGUUUUUAGUGGGGUACGUGGCGUUGUUCUACCCGAUUGUCUCUGCCAUACCUUCAAACGAAGGGAGAUUAACGUCUGGUUUCCAGCCGAUAUACCCCUUAUGUUUUAAGACAGUUGUGUUUUUAGUUUUUUAGUUAAAAAAGAAAUUGAAAAGGAGAAGAAAGAAGAUGGAGCGGAAAGAAAAAUAAAGAGCAGUGCAAAGAAGAAAAAUACAGGAAAGCAGGAAAGGAAAUAAAGAAAAAAAAAACGGGAAAGCAGGAAAGGAAAUACAGAAAGAAGAUGGAAAGCAGUAAAGGGAGAGUAGGCAAGAGUAAAGCAGAGGAAAAUAGAAGAAAAAAAAGAGAAGGCAGAAAGAAGGAUAAGUAAAGCAAGCAGAAAGAAAGGGAGAUCCGAGAGUGCAGAGGACUUACCUGGAGAAGUAGGGUUGCAGAAGCUCCUCGCAGAUCUCAGCUCUUCAGAAGGCACCGGGGCAGAGGCUCCGCGCAGACUCCAGACGCUCAGAAGAGAGAGAAGAGAGGAGUAGAGAGAGAGAAGAGAGGAGUAGAGAGAGAGCAGGGCAGUCAGAAAUGUCGCUCAGGCGCUGAAGUUGGCCCAUUUAUAGCCAAAUUGUUUUCACUGUAGCAAUAGUUUCGGUCAUAGCCACCGAAACUGUUGCCACAGUACCGGUCUUCUCCUUUUUCAAAAAAAAAAAAAAAAAAAAAAAUAUUAGCAUCUACUGAUGGGUGCUAGGUGAUGAUAACAUCUACUGAUGGAUGUUAUUGAAAAUUUCUUCCCAUUUCCCUACCUUUUAUUGCACUUGUCCAUAAUAUGUUUCGUGUUUUGAUUGAUGAUGUAUGCUUAGAACACAUUGAGGACAAUGUGUAGUUUAAGUGUGGUCUAUAGGGAGAGAUUAUGAUUGUUCUUUGUGUUAUGUGUUAAAUUUUUUUUGUUUUUGAGUGUUAAAUUUUUUCUGUUUUAAAUUGUUUUUAGUGUGUUUUGUGUGCAAUUUUACAUUUUUUCUCUUCAAUCAUGGACUUUGUUUAAGUUGUAGACUCGUCUUUCAUUUCACUUGAUUAAUACUCAUGGCAUGAAAUCUUUGCUUUUCUCUGCUUGGAAAAUGAUUAUGCUGUUUCAGAGGUUGAUUUGAUUGUGACAAUUACCCUGUGAGAAUUUGAGCCACUUUAUUUCUUUCUUGCGUGUGACAUGUCUCUUGAUUGCUUGCACAUGUGCCUUGGCUUGACUCUUGUUGAUGAUUCUUGAUGGAUAUGCAUGUUUAGAAAUGAUAAAGGCAUUUCAUUUCUUGAGCCUCGUUAGCCAAAUAAGCCUACCCUGUUAUUAUUAUUUGAUAACCCCUUUGAGCCUAUACUGUAUCCAUUUCUUUGUUUUAAAGCUCAUACAAUAGCCCUAAGUGAAAAACCAUGAUUACCUUAACCUUAGGAAAUUUUGGAGCUUUGGAAGUGUUUUGGGAAUAAGUGUGGUCUCUGUGGGGAUUCUUAUAAAUUGGCUAGUUGGUUCCUCAUCUUGUUUUAUUUUUGGAAAUAUGAUCUUGUUGAGUGAUGAAAAAAAAAAUUAAAAAAAGAAAAAAAAUUGAAAAAAAAAAUUGAAAAAUGAAAAAAAAAAAAACAAAACAAUUUUGUGAAUAAUGGAGUCAAGAAGAGGAUUGAAUUAGAGGUUUGGUUGUGAUUUGACUGUGUUUACACUUGUUCCCCAUUGCUCCUCUAUUUCUUGUGGUUUGUAGCUACUUAUCCAUAUAUAUCCUCCCUUGUCCUUGGCCCCAUUACAGCCAUAAAAGACCUUUUGAUUUAAACAUGCAUAUACUUCUGAGUGUUGAUUUUAGAGGCUUGCCAAGUCUGUUUGUGUUUGCUUUCUUGAGUGCAUCGAGCUGAUAUUAUUAUUUACCCUAGACACUUGAGAGAAACACUGAUAGUGCAUCUGUGAGGUUUUGGUACUUUUAAUUCACCUCUUGAACUGAUUAAUUGUUUUACCAUGUUUUGAAUUGCUUGGAUGAUUUCUGCGAGUAUCUGUUUUCUAUGAUUUUGUGUCAGAUAUUGUCUACAUCUUUUCGUUGUCCAGAUUUCUUGAGAACAGUGUAAAUUUUCUUUCUUUCUUGUGAGUUUUUAUUUUCUGUGUGCUGAGUUUUUGGUCGUACACCUAAUGUCCAUUGAAUUAUUCCCUGAUUUGCGUCUUAAUUUUGCCCAAGAGUGCAAAAGACUAAGUGUGGUAUAUUUUGAUGAAUCAUUAUUUUAUUCACUUCAUUUAGUUUAUUGUGCUAGAAUUAAUCAGGGAAUUGUGCUUAAUUGUCCAGUAUUUUUCCAUUUUACUGAAUUGAGCCUAAUCCGAUCAGAAAUUCUUAUUUUAAUUAAUUUGAAUUAUCUGAAACGAAUGAUUUACAUUAUUGAGUGCAUGAAAAAUUUUGGAAAAUAUUUUUGGACAUUUAGACUUUCUGUACAAAUUCCCAAUUCCUCUCGAGUAAUCGUUUACAGGGGCAGAAGUGCCUAAAAGUAAGUUUUUUUUGCCAAUGGUGACCUGUGUUCACCUGACUGAGUACCUGUGUUGGACUUUCUGUACAAAUUUGCAAUUCCUCUCGGGUAAUCAUUUACAGGAGUGCUGUAAACGAUUACCAGUGCUGCGUGAAUGUUGUGUCAACUUGUGUGUCUUCGUUUGAGUUCAAUUCUUAUCCGUUUUGCAUGCAAUAUUUUUUCAUAGUUUCGUAUGGAUGUCUAUUUUUACGUAUAGUUUUUACUUUGAUAGAAUUAUUUCUGUAAUGUUCCCAGUAAUUGUUUUACUCUUCUAUGUCAGUCCAGUGCUGCAUGAAUUUUGUGUCAAUUUGUGUGUCUUCGUUCGAGUUCAGUUCUUAUUUGUUUUCUAUGCAAUUUUUUUUCAUAUUUUUGUAUGGAUGUCUAUUUUCAUGUAUAGUUUUUACCUUGUUCAAAUUCAUUAUGUGUUGUUCCCAGUAAAUGUUUUAUUCCACUGUGUCAGUCCAGCAAAGGGAAACACACAUGCAGCACAUGCACAUGGAAAGGCUUUGGUUUUAAUUUUUUUUAUGGAGAAUAGGAUAAAGAAGUGCACAUUUACGUGAAGUCCAGCAACAAAUGCAAGUAGCACAUGAUGGAAGGAAUCUACAAAAGCUUGUGGUAUGAGUGCACACACAUGGAGUUUUGCUUCCAUUUGAUGGAUGAUGACAUGGAAUCACAUUUCUGAAAAUGGUCCACCAAACACAUGCUUGCAAUGUACCAAGAAUCACUUAAGUUUCACAAAUGUCACGGCUGGAAACAUCAAGUGGAGGGCCCCUUUGUUUUAUUUUGAAUUUGAAGGAGAGAGGAAGACACCAUUCUAGUUCCAAAAUUUUGAGAGGAGGCCAUGAGCAUCAUGGAAGGGAGUUGAAGAAUGAAGGAAACCAAUCACUACUUGAAUGGAGGAUGAAGUUGGUUGAAGUUCUUGUCUUCUCAUUUGGUUUUGUAAAUCUUUCAUUUAAGUUUUUGUUCAUCUUUUCCAUAAACUGUAAUUUGGAUUUUGUGUUUAUGGAAAUUGUUUUAAGAGCUUUGUAAUUUAAUCUUGAAUUGUUUUCUUUCCUUUUAAUUUUUGCUGCAAGUGUCAUGGCUUGGAAGAAUAACAUUCCUUCUUUCAUUUAGUUUUCUUUCAUACACUUUUGAUUGAAUCCUUUGUUGUUAUGCUUGAAUGAUUCACGGAUGUUUUAAGUGGGAGAAUGAAUUAUUGUUUCAUGUUUUUAUGUUGUUAAAGAUUGAAAAGAAGCAAGGUGCAUGGUAACUUAUGGAGAUAGUCAUGGCUCCUUCUAUUUGAGUUUCUCUUUGAUUUUGUUUUAACUAAGAAGAUGGAUGCUUACGGUUUUGGAUGUCCAUUUGCAAUUACCAUUUCAAUGAAACCCAGCAAAUUUGUCACGGCACAUGAGAUGGAUGCUUACGGUUUUGGAUGUCCAUUUGCAAUUACCAUUUCAAUGAAACCCAGCAAAUUUGUCACGGCACAUGAGCUUCACCACAACAACCACCAAAGGUGCGUUCUUCUUUCUCCCUCACCGACGAUAGAGCUUUAUUCCGACGGUGAACCCAUUUUCAAGGGCAUCACCAUGAGCACUACUUCCUUCUCCCUUUGAAUCUCCUCCAAAGUCAAUCACGCUCUCUUCCUCAACCGUAACCCUCCAUCUCUCAAUCUCCCGGCUGGCUGUGCACUUGCUUCUCUCUAAACUAAUAAAAUGAACUUCCUCCCCUCUAGGUUGCGGCUGGAGCUUGUCUUCACGUGCUGGACCGUGGAAGCUUGAAGACUGUACGUGGGUUGCUAUUAAUUGUUCAUGGUCGUGGUUGUGUGUGUGUUGUGCUCUGGAUUUGAGGGCUUCCUAUUGCUAAACGUCACCUCCAGCUCCAAGCCGAGACACCCUCCAUUGCGUGUUGGACCGAGAGCUUUGGACGUGUGCUACUGCUUUCAUGAAUCCAAGCUGUUGGACCGCGUGAAUGAGCAGGCUGUGCUUCAAGAUCCAUUUCUUCUACGCGCACCUUUUCUCCCAUUCUCGGUGCUGCUGCUUCUUGGACGCGUGGUGGACUUCCUCAAAAGCUUUGGACCACAGACUAAUCAAAUUUCCAGACGUAACCCCCUCUUACGUGUGUUGUUGUUUAUGCUGGAGCACACUACGUGUUGUCUUCACGUGGGCCUCUUGCCUCCUCUCCAACGUGAAAUGCUGGAUGGCUGCUCCUCUACGUGUUGUUGGACCAGCUGUGUGUCACACCCUUUAUUCAAGCUGCUGGACCGCGUUUCCCCAUGGGUCGUGUGCUAUUUGCUUCCAGCACUCUACAUAGUGUGCACCUCCCAAAGAAGCUCCCGGACAUGUGAUUCAAUCUGGGCUGCUUUUGGAUGUAAUAAUUGAAGCCUGUGCUUGCUGGACGCACCCCCUUUUUCAAUUGAAGCACCCUUUUCUCAAAGGGCCAAAGAGUAAAAUCACCAUAGUGUCUUCUUUCUUGUGCACACUUCUUUUAUGAAGAGUCUUGAAUUAAGUGACAACCUUCCAAAUGUACCAAAUUGUAUUUCCAAAAUUUUCCUGUAAUUAAUAAAUCAAAUAA